ACGCGAGCUGGGUUCAGAACGUCGUGAGACAGUUCGGUCCCUAUCCGUCGCAGGCGUAGGAAAUUUGAGAAGACCUGUCCUUAGUACGAGAGGACCGGGAUGGACGUACCUCUGGUGUACCAGUUGUUCUGCCAAGGGCAUGGCUGGGUAGCUAUGUACGGAAUGGAUAAGCGCUGAAAGCAUCUAAGCGCGAAGCCAACUUCAAGAUAAGAUUUCCCACCGCAAGGGUAAGACCCCAGAAAGACUA
This 247-nucleotide ribosomal RNA is filed under the name Clostridioides difficile. Its description in RNAcentral is "partial 23S ribosomal RNA". It matches the Rfam family "Bacterial large subunit ribosomal RNA", at positions 2598 to 2847 of the family's 2925-position model. The record is from RNAcentral. Lineage: Bacteria; Bacillati; Bacillota; Clostridia; Peptostreptococcales; Peptostreptococcaceae.